UACGAAGGGGGCUAGCGUUGCUCGGAAUUACUGGGCGUAAAGCGCACGUAGGCGGAUUGUUAAGUCGGGGGUGAAAUCCUGGAGCUCAACUCCAGAACUGCCUUCGAUACUGGCGAUCUCGAGUUCGGGAGAGGUGAGUGGAACUGCGAGUGUAGAGGUGAAAUUCGUAGAUAUUCGCAAGAACACCAGUGGCGAAGGCGGCUCACUGGCCCGAUACUGACGCUGAGGUGCGAAAGCGUGGGGAGCGAACCGG
This 253-nucleotide ribosomal RNA is filed under the name uncultured bacterium. RNAcentral's name for it is "partial 16S ribosomal RNA". It matches the Rfam family "Bacterial small subunit ribosomal RNA", at positions 524 to 776 of the family's 1533-position model. The record is from RNAcentral.